GGUAAGAUGCCUGAAAAAAGGGGGCCGUUGAUGUUGGCCAUCAUGUAGGUAAAACUCCUUCUCUUACCU
This 69-nucleotide transfer RNA is filed under the name Hydroides norvegica. RNAcentral describes it as "tRNA-Ile". The record is from RNAcentral. Lineage: Eukaryota; Metazoa; Annelida; Polychaeta; Sabellida; Serpulidae.